CCUACGGGUGGCAGCAGUCGAGAAUCAUUCACAAUGGGGGAAACCCUGAUGGUGCGACGCCGCGUGGGGGAAUGAAGGUCUUCGGAUUGUAAACCCCUGUCAUGUGGGAGCAAAUUAAAAAGAUAGUACCACAAGAGGAAGAGACGGCUAACUCUGUGCCAGCAGCCGCGGUAAUACAGAGGUCUCAAGCGUUGUUCGGAAUCACUGGGCGUAAAGCGUGCGUAGGCUGUUUCGUAAGUCGUGUGUGAAAGGCGCGGGCUCAACCCGCGGACGGCACAUGAUACUGCGAGACUAGAGUAAUGGAGGGGGAACGGGAAGUUUGGGGUGAGCAGUGAAGUGGGUAGGUAUCGAGAGGAACAGUCGGGGCGAAGGCGGGUUCGUGGACAUUAACUGACGCUGAGGCACGAAGGCCAGGGGAGCGAAAGGGAUUAGAUACCCCUGUAGUC
This 446-nucleotide ribosomal RNA is filed under the name uncultured bacterium. RNAcentral's name for it is "partial 16S ribosomal RNA". It matches the Rfam family "Bacterial small subunit ribosomal RNA", at positions 338 to 795 of the family's 1533-position model. The record is from RNAcentral.